UGGGAUGUGGCUCAAGUGGUAGGGUGCUCGUCUGGCGUGCGUGAGGCACUGGGUUCGAUCCUCAGCACCACAU
Ictidomys tridecemlineatus (thirteen-lined ground squirrel) is the source of this 73-nucleotide non-coding RNA. NCBI's taxonomy places the organism in Eukaryota, Metazoa, Chordata, Mammalia, Rodentia, Sciuridae. The record is from Rfam.